RNAcentral lists this long non-coding RNA (350 nucleotides) under Homo sapiens (human). Its description in RNAcentral is "non-protein coding lnc-RHBDL2-1:1". The record is from RNAcentral. Lineage: Eukaryota; Metazoa; Chordata; Mammalia; Primates; Hominidae.
AUGUUUGCUAUUCUGAACUUCUACUCUUUUGACCUCUUUGCUGGAUGCAACUAAGGGCGAUAACCUGCUUCCUGCUGACACUGAGGAUUAUAUCCAUAUAAGAAUUUAAUAAAGAAAUGGCAGGAAGACCAUUACUACUGUCCAAGGAAUUGCUGAUGACUACCAUAAAAAGAAACUAAAAAAGAAACUAGUGAAGGCAUUCAAGAAGAAAUUUGCCUGGUACUGCAAUAGAGCAUCCAGAAUAUGGAGAACUAAUUAAGCUACAGACUGACCCGUGCAAGAACCUAUGCCAGUUCCUUGCAGAGAUCGCACUGGCCAAGGACAAUCAGCUGAAGGUUCAUGGGUUCUAA